This is a long non-coding RNA of Dermacentor andersoni, 1542 nucleotides long. RefSeq lists it as uncharacterized. The record is from RefSeq and is a predicted model, not a curated record. Lineage: Eukaryota; Metazoa; Arthropoda; Arachnida; Ixodida; Ixodidae.
CGAAAUUAGCAGUAACAACCCUCAGUGUCCCCGGUCACCGUUGUCUGUUUCUGAAUUUCGUAUGAAAUAUGGAUAUCGUUACAGCAAAAUCGAUGGUCUAGCACUCCACGAUGUACCUGGCGAUGGUAACAACACUUUUGCUCAUCUAGAGAUGCGGCAGUUGACGCGGUGAAGUGAAAGCGCAUCGUGGCUUUUAAAAUGCAAAUGUAAACAGCAACCCAGACAGCAAUUUACACUCUUGACAUAGGUUCAACAUACGCCAGCAGUGAUGUUUGGCGUGGUGCAGUGGUAAGAUGCUUGUCUCGGAACCGUCAGGUCCAAAGUUCGAAUCCUAGGCAAAAAGCAUUUUUUUUUCUACUUUUAUUUUUUUAUUUUAUUUCGUAUUAAUAAUUUUACAUAACCUUAAAAUUACCUCUGUCAAUUUUUAAUCAAAUAUUGAUCAGGAACUACAGAAUUUUCGACUACAGGGCGUCACACUACAGAGAACAGAACGACAGUCACAACGUCCCAAAAUACGACAGACUGAAAAUUUGCUGUUGUGUUUUUCAAGUGGGUGAGACGUCUAUACGGCGUAUACGCAGAUUGCUGUCCUCUCUAUUAAAAGCAACGUUGCUGAAACACGUCGUACAAGACGCUGUACGACUCGCAUAACAUCGAAAUACAACGCCGUCACCAUCCAUGAGAUCACCGAAAGCACGGUCGCUUUCGGUGGCGGCCUACAGAUGGCAGCACAGGUAGCGCCGGUAAAGUUACAGGUGAUAUUAUUUUGCCGUCCUCAGUUGUCGCCACAUGUGAGUGCUUGCUGCAUUGACGCCGUCCGAUGUAGUUGUUUAAUCAUGUGUACGCUGUGCCGAGAGAAAUUGUGGUGCAUUUUGUAUGCAUUGAGAAUCACAAAACCCCUGGGACCGCGUAAUGUAGCCCGCAGUAUCCUUCGUGUGGUGCGCCGAUGUCGAAGAUAUGACCCUUCGCGCUUCCUUUGUUCCGGGCUCAUGAACAGGAUCUCCUCCUCUGGCACUGUCGCAUCGUAUCGCGCUGUACGGAAGAAUUUGGUGAAAGUUGUGCUCUUACGUCCUGUAGUUGAUCCGCAAUUCAACAGUGUGUGCGCCGGAAGGACCGUUGGUGCAGUCGAUGCCGCGGCACCUGUGACGCUAAAAGGAGCGUUUUCCGAGUACGCCUAGAAAGGGAUGGCAAGAUUUUGUGAACCAGAGGCACCUCCACAUAUGCACCUGCGGCACUUCUGCAGCCUCAACAGCACGGAAAAGUACCUGAUGUGCAUGCUGUGACAAGCUGCUGUAGGUAUGGCUGGACCUGGAAAAGAAGUGUAAGCAGACCAUGCUAUGUUGCUGAUCUGCGCUGAUCUCCACAUCCAAGUUGGUCCCGCGACAGUUGGGCACCAUUGUGCCUUGCUUCAUUGACAAGGUGAUAUAAUAUGGUGCCCUGCUCGCUCUCACCCAAGCAACCCACUCCAGCGGUCUUCUCUCGGCAGACUGGAUGCAUCGAAAUACCGUUAGAAGGUCCAAUAAACAGUGCUUGGGACAUUUA